Molecule: long non-coding RNA, 3425 nt
Organism: Carassius auratus (goldfish)
Lineage: Eukaryota; Metazoa; Chordata; Actinopteri; Cypriniformes; Cyprinidae
Exons: 3
Source: RefSeq, a predicted model, not a curated record
UCUCUCCUGUACCUGGAGUAUCUGAAAGUGUUGUGAUUUCCUGCAUAAGCCAUCAUGCCUGUCAGCUUUGUCAAGGGUCUUAAUUUGAAAUGAAUUGAACCACGAUGUAUGCCGGUUAAUGUGACGGAAGCAUUACAAUUUAUGCUUUCUAAUUGAGAUUUACGACAUCCCAACGAAUUGUGUUGGACGAACAGACUGUGUUCAAGAGAAUCUUUAAAAGUCAUAAAUAAUUAAUGUUUAAUUAAUGUUUACAUUGUUGUGAGUGAAUGUGAAUUUUCGUUGCAUGUUAUUUAAUAAACGAUGUAACAGAGGGAAAAGUUGUUUUAUUACAACCUUUGAACAGUGAGGAUUUCAUAAUAAGUUCAAAGGGUAGCAUAUGUGGUCUCCACGGGUCGAAGGUCGAACAACCCUGCAAUACCCAAGGUCACUAAAAGUAACCAACAAUGCGUCACCAUAUUGACAAUGUCAAAAUUAAAAGAAACGCCUUCGUCUAAGAGCCUUACACAUUAAUGGAAAGCUAUAAUUCAUGUAACUAUAGGGGUAUGGUUAUUCAUGUAUUUUAAUUAAAGGUUAUUUGGGAUUUUUUGCUUUUACAUGUAGAGAAAAAAAAUCAAGAUUAAUAUUUAGGUAGUGACGCAUAUAUAUAAAAUUAGUUUUUCCCUGUGUGUUUGGUUUUAGCUUUUUCGAACUUUUCCCUUCCUUGCUACAUGAGAAAAGAAGAACAAAAACUGCGGCUAUGUUUUCCAGGCCGACUGCACUCUCGGUUUAAUUUCUCUUUCUUCUCCCUGUCCAUUGAAAAGGGAAAAGGUUUUUGUGGUUUUCUGGAGAAAUAAAGAACUUCUUAGAGAGGUCGGCCGACGUGACUUUGAACUUGGAUCAGAUCCUGUGUUUCCUGUGGAGAGGGUAGAAAUAGUCUUAGAAGAAUGGUACAUAACGUUCAAACAGCAUGGCUUUGAGCUGAGGCACACAGAAUUCCCAAAGUUUUAUACAUCCUCCGCCCUAUUAUUUACAGCUUAAAGCGUUCGGAGGAGAGGAAAGACAAGACAAAGUGUGUUGUGCGUUGGAACAGGACUUCAUGGGACUAUAUAUUCAAUGAAAUUGCAGCAGAAGGUGUCACCUUCAUCGGACCUGACACACAUGCUACUCAAACCAUGGGAGACAAGAUCAGGGGCAAAUUAAUCGCCGAGAUGCCAAGGUCAGUGUUAUGGCCCUAUGUGGUGUGGGCUGGUCAAGGUGAGCAGCAGACACACGUCUAUUCUUUCAGCCACCUCAAAUGACUCAUCUCACGUCUGUCAUACCGUCACGAGGGCAUCAACACUGAUGUGUGUGUUUAUAAAGACUAGGUGUUGUCAGUGAGCUGUCAGCUCUGGGAAUAACAAAUUAGGUCUUUUUUAUGUGUUGCCACUAUGGCAAAAUAUUACCUCCCUUGGAAUGCGAUCCAGGAACUUGUUGUUUGCGGAUGGAAAUGUGUGCGUGUAGUAGGAAGGGCCGUUGCUAAUGAGGGAUGUUUUGAAAACAUUUAAAGCCCUAAUGAUGGUGCUGCAAGAGCAAAGCCUCUUCCGGGGGCUGUGAUUUAAGAUAGUUCGAGGCUGUGGAAAAAUAGUUUCACACAAUUUCAUUCUUGCAUUCCUGUUGUUAAAAUAUUGGGGUUAGAGGCUAACACAAAGAUGAGGAGGUGAAUAACCCUGCCGUAUGCGUGUGUUUUUAAAGCAAAGAGUAUUAAAGCUCCUUCAAUAGCAGCCCGAGCGUUUUCUCACUUCUCCAUUUUGUCUCGAGAGCACUUAAUUGUCUGCAUUUGGCAAGUUUAACACUUCCUGACUCGAGUGGCCUCACUUGAAUGUCUUUGCAUAGCUUUUGGGGACAAAAGGAAGGCCUAGAUGCAGAAAACACACACACACACACACACACACACAAGCAGGCAAAUAUAUAUAAAAAAAAUCCAUAGUGACCGAAUUAAACAUGCCAAGAGAAAAUUUCCCACCGAGAAAUUUUGAGAUUUUAGCUGCGCCUAGUUCUGUCCGCCAGCCAAUUUUCCAUCAGGAAUCUCUCAUUAGCAGAUGUUUUUGGCCACAACACACACACACCUCAGUGUGAUCUGGUGAACCCUAAAUUUAACAAGCGCUUAGCAGAGCAGACGAGUUAAUGAAAGGAAAUGACCUUUUCUGCCAAUUUCCCCCUUCCAUUCAGGUGCUUUUUUAUGUUGCGAUUUAAAAUGACAGAUAUUUUUAUUUUGUACUAAAUAAACUGCUGAAUCUUUCCUAUGUUUCAUUAUUUCUGGGAAGCGCAUGAGUCAGGUAUAACUGCCGUCAGAUGGUCACAAUUACAUCUUGCUUGACCUGCUUUCCAAGACUUAUUGCCCACUUUAUCGUUUUAAAGAGGUGUCUGAAACUGAAAUUUAAUUUUUAAUUCGCUUUCAUGUACAUCCUUUUUUAACAGCUUUUGAGUUGCUAAUAUCUUGAAGAAUUGUCCUUGAUUGAUUACUGUUCACAGUCCUGGCAUCUAUUCUCAACUUAAACUGCAAUCUGUUUGCUUACUCAUUUUAGUAGCCGGCGAUACAGGAUGAAGUUUAUUUACACCACUGUCAUCUGUUCCCUUCAAAGCAGCAAAGCCGAUGAUUUCCACAUAAGAGCAGUGGGGAGACUCGGGUAGACGGCCCCUCCAGAGCCCGCUGAAGUGAAGCCGUAGUUGGGUAUGUUGGCUGGUCUCGCCCGGCAGCCCCACAGCAGGCUGGAAGCCUCUUCUAUCUCUGCUUCCAAUCAAUAGAAGAGCUGCUCCCCCUGCUGCCUGUCCUACGCUACAACUUCCUCUUUUCUUACCUCUUCCAAUGGCACCCAUCACCCCUCACAUUUUCUCUACUUUUAUCCCUAUUUCUCUCUCUCUCUCCGCAGUGAAGCAGUGACGACGGUACCCGUUUGGCAGUGGCUGACAUGAGCAGGGGUCUGUCAAGGAGGGCUGUUAGGCUAGUGGCGAGAUGGAAACCCAUCUGGGAGGCCUUUGGAUGCAGCUUGUGAUGUGAAGGUUUUUGGGAGCCCUUCGUCUCUCUUGGCAGCAGUUGAUUGUGACGGCACGUUUCUGCACACAUCCAAGAACCUUCUGUCCUAUCUACUGAUACCUCGAUCUGGUCUCCCUCAGCCAUCUUGUUCCUCAUAAAUUUUUCACCAUGCUGUGAUCAAAGCUCACCACUGUAUUUGUGUUCUGUUGUAAUGGCCAAAGGAUGUAACAUAAAAUUGUAAAUUACGAUCCAUCCUAUAUCAGGCCAAGUGUUGACAUGGCUUUUACUGUGUGGGUUUUUAACGUGAUUGAUUUAUUUUGUUUAGAUGGGCAGGAAUGUGCAGGAAUGUUUGGUGCUGUAGGCGCGUCAGUGGGUGACCCGCUUUCAUAUGCCGUGCACUUGUCUUAGUAGUGCAGCCAGGCCAUGCUUUUUU